This 253-nucleotide ribosomal RNA is filed under the name uncultured bacterium. Its description in RNAcentral is "partial 16S ribosomal RNA". It matches the Rfam family "Bacterial small subunit ribosomal RNA", at positions 524 to 776 of the family's 1533-position model. The record is from RNAcentral.
UACGUAGGGGGCCAGCGUUGCUCGGAAUUACUGGGCGUAAAGGGUCCGUAGGCGGUGCGGUAAGUCGGAAGUGAAAUCUCAGGGCUUAACCCUGGGGCUGCUCCCGAAACUGCCGUGCUAGAGUGCGAGAGAGGCGAGUGGAAUUGCGGGUGUAGCGGUGAAAUGCGUAGAUAUCCGCAGGAACAUCCGAGGCGAAGGCGGCUCGCUGGAUCGCAACUGACGCUGAGGGACGAAAGCUAGGGGAGCAAACAGG